Molecule: long non-coding RNA, 2390 nt
Organism: Hippocampus zosterae (dwarf seahorse)
Lineage: Eukaryota; Metazoa; Chordata; Actinopteri; Syngnathiformes; Syngnathidae
Exons: 3
Source: RefSeq, a predicted model, not a curated record
GUAAGGAGAGGGGGAGAUUCGCUUUCAACGACACGCGCUGCGAAUCGGAGCGACGUGUCGCGUCGUUCCGCUGACAAGUGACGACCGCCGAUGCAUCCGGGCCGGCUGCCAGCGCGCUGGGGUUUUGAAGAAACAUCAAGCACGCAUGGCCGAGCGACUCCGCGGCUCUCCGCGUUGGAGGGCGAACCUUACAAGGCGUGACGGAGUAAAACGGAGCAAUGAAAGUUAGUGAUAAGCCACGGAAGAUGUCGUCGAUCCAGAUGAGCAACACCGAAAAAAUGAAAUAUCAGAGGAAAUGUCAGCUCCGCCCACUGGAUAAGAAACUUUGCCACCACAGCUGGCAAGUGAAUGAUUCCAAGGUGCCGCGGGACUCGCCGGGCCACCUUUGGGGAUUACAUCCAAUUAAAAAAGUGCCGCUCAACCUCGACAAACAGAGCCCGCCUCCUUGUCGGGAAGCGGCGUUCCACCUCCACGUUUCAUCUCGCGGAUGAGAAAACUCACAUAUUUUCUUGUUGUCACUAUUGACUGCGUCUCUAAUUAAGCACUCGCACUUAAUCUGGUAUGGAAAUGUCUUGUACCUUCUUUCAUGUGUGCAUGUAGAGCAGGCGAGGAUCAUAAACGCACACACUGAGCCACUUGAAUGAACCUCACUUGAUGUAAACGCAAGUCGGAGCGGGGCAGUGUAUGCUUGGAUGCGACGUGGGUGACCAGGCAGGAUCUUAAGGGCCAAACAAGCUUAGCCAAAAACACACAACGGCAAGGAAUGAAAUAUAUUCCAGUCUCGGAAAAUAAGUACGUCGGUUAUAGGUAGCUAAAAGUAGUGUGUUGAACUUCCCAGUCCAAGAAAAUAAACAUGGCCGAAAUUAUUUACCCAAAAAAAUUACAAAAAUAAAACUCGUAACACUUAUUGUUUUAGUGACACUGCAUUACAAAUAAGUCACGUGAGCCACGUGGGCCAAUACUAGCUUGAUUCCAGUGCUAAUGCUAUCUUAGUAUUGAUAGCGCUGCCAUUUUGUAGAAGCUGUAUAUGGGUUCUCGGAGACUAUUUGUCCAUGACUUUGCACAUUCACCAUUCGUUCUGACAAGCCACGAUGGACAGCCAUUUUUAAGAAUUGCGCUCAUGCGGGUAAGUGAGGGAACGUCUUUGGUCAGAGACUCGAGAGGUGAGGGAUAGGGAAGUGAGGCUACGUUCCAAAUCUUGCUAGCAAUUUUAACAUGGCAAACUCUCCCUUAACAAUGUUAACAACCUCCUCGGCGGAGAUCAUUCAUUACCAAUGUAUAAGUGACUUUUUAACUGAAUUGCACUUGAUGUAUUCCCCUCACGAACGUGCACUACAGGACAUUUUUAAAUCAAGCUUUAGGUUGACAUCAUUAGGCACAAACAGUUGCCGUCCGGCACCUGGCGCAACGUUCUGACGGUUGCCAUGGAGUUUCUAACGCUCAAGGCUGCCUUGGCAUUUACCUUACAUGAAAACGGCAGAUUUUUCACUGUUUUUUUUUCUUCUUUCGCUUCCUGUAAUUAUUAGUCCGAAAGACAUUGGAACACUGACACAUUGUUUGCACCUCAGCAUGUACAAGCAGCAGUGGUUAGUGACAACAUGUCGGCUUAUUAUCUUGGUUGCGACAGAAAGCGGUGGCGACUUGGAGGCCUCGGUGAAAGCACGGACGGGCCUGGCUAAUUGGCGCCACCCUGGCGCUGGAGAUUGAUCUGGGUGAUAACCAGACCAGCAGUCUGGACCUCUUACCAGUAAAUUAAACCUGAUCAAGUUCAUUUAUAGAAUGACAAGAAGGGAGGAAGGAGGAUCACAAUCCACCAAAUGUAAAGACUCCACGCCGGUCAAAAACAGGCCAAAAGGUGGGUGACAAAGUGGAAUUGGUCAAAGCGAGGAAAAAAAACAACAAUUAUCCAAGCCUGAAAACAUCAAAAGUCAAGCCGCCUCUUGCAAAGCUGUGCUUGCCACCUUCUCCAAUACAAUCGAAUAUCAUCAAGUUAUUGGCAUAUACUGUAAAAUGUAAAACCAUCUCCAAACAUUGGGGGGGUUAGGAUACAAAUCCAGCCUCUCGUGUCCCCGGCCUCUUUGAGUAGAUUCGGUUGCCUACCUCCAGCUGGAAUCCUAUUAUGACUAAUUCCACAUUAAGAUCGACGAGGAAUGGCAAUAAGUAUUACGUGGUUAGCCCAGGGACUCGCUCAAAGACUUGGAUGAGGAAAGGAAAAGAUAUAUUUACAUUCGAGUCAAGCCGAGCCUCCGGCGGCAGGUUAAAUAGAGGGAGAAAAAAAAAUAUUCAUAAGCGACUUCAAAACACUUUAGGUUUUUGGAGAGUACCAAGACAAAAAAAAAAUGAUGGCACUCUCAAAUGGCUAGUUUAACUGGUUCAUUCAGUUCUGAUAU